This 76-nucleotide transfer RNA is filed under the name bacterium. RNAcentral's name for it is "tRNA-Met". It matches the Rfam family "tRNA". Rfam says of the family: Transfer RNA (tRNA) molecules are approximately 80 nucleotides in length. The record is from RNAcentral.
AGCUCUCUAGCUUAAAGGUAAAGCGGCUGGACUCAUAAUCUGGAAAAUUGAGGUUCGAUACCUCUGGGAGCUACCA